AGUGCAGGAUAGUGUGUAUCGGUGUUAUGCUCUUCUACUAUGCAUUUCUAGCCGAAAGUGUUUUCUGCUACAUUAAGUUUGGAGAAAAUGGGCAGUUGGACCCCAAUCUUUUCAUUGGGUAUGUCAACAAUCAUUUUUCCGAUAUUC
Molecule: small nucleolar RNA, 147 nt
Organism: Phoenix dactylifera (date palm)
Lineage: Eukaryota; Viridiplantae; Streptophyta; Magnoliopsida; Arecales; Arecaceae
Product: small nucleolar RNA snoR135
Source: RefSeq, a predicted model, not a curated record